RNAcentral lists this ribosomal RNA (687 nucleotides) under uncultured delta proteobacterium. RNAcentral's name for it is "bacterial SSU rRNA". It matches the Rfam family "Bacterial small subunit ribosomal RNA", at positions 1 to 666 of the family's 1533-position model. The record is from RNAcentral. Lineage: Bacteria; Deltaproteobacteria.
UAGAGUUUGAUCCUGGCUCAGAAUGAACGCUGACGGCGUGCUUAACACAUGCAAGUCGCACGAGAACUCUUUAGCUUGCUAAAGAUAGUAAAGUGGCGCACGGGUGAGUAACGCGUGGGUAAUCUACCCCAGAAUCGGGGAUAACAUUGCGAAAGCGAUGCUAAUACCGGAUAAUAUCUGAUUUACUGUGGUUUUUCAGAUCAAAGGUGGCCUCUAUAUAUAAGCUACUGUUUUGGGAUGAGCCCGCGUACCAUUAGCUUGUUGGUAGGGUAAUGGCCUACCAAGGCUGCGAUGGUUAGCUGGUCUGAGAGGAUGAUCAGCCACACUGGAACUGGUACACGGUCCAGACUCCUACGGGAGGCAGCAGUGAGGAAUUUUGCGCAAUGGGGGAAACCCUGACGCAGCAACGCCGCGUGAGUGAUGAAGGCCUUCGGGUCGUAAAGCUCUGUCAAGUGGGAAGAAUAUAGAAAAUGAUAAUACCAUUUUUUACUGACGGUACCACUGAAGGAAGCACCGGCUAACUCCGUGCCAGCAGCCGCGGUAAUACGGAGGGUGCAAGCGUUAUUCGGAAUCAUUGGGCGUAAAGGGCGCGCAGGCGGUUUUUUAAGUCAGAUGUGAAAGCCCGGGGCUUAACCCCGGAAGUGCAUUUGAAACUAAUUAACUUGAGUAUGGGAGAGGGAAGUGGAA